This 253-nucleotide ribosomal RNA is filed under the name uncultured bacterium. Its description in RNAcentral is "partial 16S ribosomal RNA". It matches the Rfam family "Bacterial small subunit ribosomal RNA", at positions 524 to 776 of the family's 1533-position model. The record is from RNAcentral.
GACGGGGGGAGCAAGCGUUGUUCGGAAUUACUGGGCGUAAAGGGCGUGUAGGCGGUCAGGUAAGUGGGAUGUGAAAUGCCCCGGCUCACCCGGGGACCGGCAUCCCAUACUGCUUGGCUUGAGUACGGGAGAGGAUGUGGGAAUUCCUGGUGUAGCGGUGAAAUGCGUAGAUAUCAGGAGGAACACCGGUGGCGAAGGCGCACAUCUGGCCCGAUACUGACGCUGAGGCGCGAAAGCUAGGGGAGCAAACGGG